GACAAACAUUACUUUUGCUCCAUCUCACAGGUCAGAAAUGCCACUCGGCCCCUCGUAACUGCAAAGGGACUGAAAGGUGUGGUCUCCCAGAGGUCCAGGAAGGAAAGAAGCCCUGGGAAGUUUUCCACAAGGCCCAGCUUCUUCUCAAGGAGACUGUGGAUAAGGAAAGAAGGCAGGCAAGGCUGCUGUGCUGGAAAGAAGGUGGAGCUCCCCAGAAGCAGACUGCAGAGAACGGAGUGCAGGAAGAUUCCCAAGGAGAGCCUCGGGAUGAACGCCUACGGAGAAGGUGGCAGUGGGAUCAGGCAGAUGGAGAGGCUGGCUGCGAUGCAGUCACAACCAGGCCUCCACUGAGCCCACGGGGAACCCUGAAACUGGGAUGGCCCUUCAGAGUUAUCCCCAGCUGGAGCAUGGACCAGGCCUUUACAUCUUCCCCUUCGAUCAGACAGGAGGUCCCAUGUGGAUUCUGGAAUCAGAAAAGCCUGCUUCCUGAGUUUGAAUCCAGUCUUCACCCUUCAACUGUGGGACCCUGGACAAGAACCAACAUCUUCCAGCAGAGACCACCAAGAACACACUUGUGGUUGAAUAAGCUAGGUUUAUUAAUUACUGCAGUGAGAGAGAAUACACACCAGGGUGUCUUAGUAAGAGGGAGUUAGACAAAACCUAUGAUAGAAUUGGGGUUGGUUUGAGAGAUUUGGGGAGAGGGUAAGUGUAUUAGUCCAUUUUCACGCUGCUGAUGAAGACAUACCUGAGACUGGGAAGAAAAAGAGGUUCAAUUGGACUUGCAGUUCCACAUGGCUGGGGAGGCCUCAGAAUCAUGGUGGGAAGUGAAAGGCACUUCUUACAUGGUGGUGGCAAGAGAAAAUGAGCAAGAAGCAAAAAUGGAAACCCCUGAUAAAACCAUCAGAUUUUAUGAGACUUAUUCACUACCACAAGAAUAGCACAGGAAAGAUCAGCCCCCCAUAAUUCAAUUACCUCCCCCGGGUCCCUCCCACAACCCAUGGGAAUUCUGGGAGGUACAAUUCAAGUUGAGAUUUGGGUGGGGACACGGCCAAACCAUAUCAGUAAGGAAGUGGCAGUUUACUUUCAAUUGGCAGCUGUAAGAAACUGGGGGCAAUUCUGUGACGCAGUGUCUCAAUAAAUCACAUCUAUAAGGAAGGGAGAUGGCAACAAGGAUACAGCUGUAGCAGGAAAAGAAGUAACAGUCACUCAUUUUGGCCAAGAGGGGGUGUUUGGUAUUUUGCUGCGGUACACUGACAUUGUUUUUGUCGGUGCUUAGAAAAAAUUAUGACACGGUCUUGCUUUGUCUCAUUUUAUCAUAGUCUCAGCGUAGCCUUGUCUGAGGUCAGCACCCUGUGAGGGUGUUUAUGUCCUGGAGGACAAGAACACAGGCUAGCCGUGAAUGGAAGGCCAGCUUCCAAAUCUCAGGGGCUUUUUUCCUUCCUCAGAGGUUACUAAAUCCCUCCAUGUAUAAAUCUCUCCACCAUAAAAUGGGGGUAAGAAGGCCGGGCGCGGUGGCUCAUGCCUGUAAUCCCAGAACUUUGGAAGGCCGAGGCAGGUGGAUCACCUGAGGUGAGGAGUUUGAGACCAGCCUGACUAACAUGGUGAAACCCUGUCUCUACUAAAUACAAAAAAUUAGCCAGGCAUGGUGGCGGGUGCCUGUAAUCCCAGCUACUUGGGAGGCUGAGGCAGGAGAAUUGCUUGAACCCAGGAGGUGGAGGUUACAGUGAGCUGAGGUUGCGCCAUUGUACUCCAGCCUGGGCAACAGGAGCAAAACUCCAUCUCAAAAAUAAAUAAAUAAAUAAAUAAAUAAAUAAAUAAAUAAAUAAAUAAAAUGGGGGUAAGAGCUCUACCUUGUAGGGCAGUUUUGAAGAAUGCAUAAGACGAUGUGACACAGAGGGCAACAGCUCGUUUCGUGUUAUUCUCCCCCCGACGAACCCCAUAAGAACACCACACAGCAGCUGCUCGAACACCAAUUUUAUAGGUUGGGAAACUAGAUGGAAAAGGUCAGUGUAUUUUGAUGGAAAUCAGAAGUGAAAUAGCCAUCCAUGCUAAGAGUGCAACUAAGCUUCCCAUUUUGAGCGCCAGCAGCAAAUAACCACCAGCAAUUGACACGGGGUGGCCAGCUCGGCACAGGGUCACAGUGGGGUUGGAGCACUGUCCAGGACCUGGUUUUGGGGAAAGCGGGGGCAGCAUCAGGACCUGGGGGGUGGGGAGUGGUCAUCACUGGAACCAUGAUGCCUGUGUUUCACUUGGCAGCUUUCGCACUGAGCUCACAGAGAGAUGGCCUUAGGCGCAGAAUCCAGACAGCACCCCUGGGAAUAGAGUGCACCCUGACUCUGGGUCAGGGACUGAGCAGGGACCAGAACCAACUUCUUUUCUUUCCCACACAUCAUCUUGUCUGCUAAUAAUAGAGUUCAUCACCAGUGAGAUUUCCAGAAUAAAGCCCACCCAGCUUUUUCCCCUAAUUAUAUCCUCUCCCUGGUAAUUGCAGAGUUGUUCAGGGCCUGCAUCUGGCUUGUAAGAGCAUUUCCAGGAAAACCAGAUUGAGUACCACCUCUCACUUGAUAGAACAAAAGGAAAGUUGCACACUUUGAAGGCUCAGCUUCUCCAGUAGAAAGUAACCAGUGGGGCUAUAGAAAGGCACCAGGUAUGGAAUCCCAAGUCAGUUCCUUCUCAGCUAUAUGGAUUUAGGAAUACAUUUAGCCUUAACAUGCUCAGCUGUAAAAUGGGAAUAAAAAAACUGCACUACCCUUCAUAUUCCCGAAGACUGUUGCAAAAAUGAUCUUUAUGGAUUCACAUGUAAAAAGAACUGCACAAUAAUAAAAAACGUAUUUCCUAUACAGUGAUUUUGUUUACCAGCAAAUAAAACAAAUUUGACAC
This is a long non-coding RNA of Pan troglodytes (chimpanzee), 2880 nucleotides long. RefSeq lists it as uncharacterized. The transcript has 3 exons. The record is from RefSeq and is a predicted model, not a curated record. Lineage: Eukaryota; Metazoa; Chordata; Mammalia; Primates; Hominidae.